GAGGUGCCCGCGCUGCGCUUGUCUCUCCCCCGCCCCGUGACGGUCCUGGGAAAUGGCCGUCGCCCUGGGGCGGACGGAGGCGACGGGCCGCGCCUCGGUGCCGCUGGGGCUGGGGCGGGGCUGGCGGCCUGGAAAGGACCGGAGCGCGGGGAGCUCUGCCCAUGUCGCCGCGCGGUAGCCGUGGGGCGGGCGGGGCGGAAGGGCUACGCGCUUACCAGGAUGUGUCGGCGGGCGGGAGGGCUCAGCUCCUGAGCCGCCUUUCAAUGGAAACAAAACCAGUUAUCAGAAGGUAUGAAACAAGGAGGAACACAAGAAUAGAAGAACCAGCAUCCAAAUCUCGGGUUGAUUGGAGGCGGACUAAAAGAGAGACCAUAUUGCUUGACAGUGAUGAAGAACCCACAUCUGCUUCAGAAGAUGAACAACUCUCCUCGACAUCAGAAGACGAAGUGGCUGAAAAACAAGAAACUGUAGUUAAGAGGUAUAAUCUUACAGAUCAUGAGGAGAAAGGCCAUGAUGACACAGUCGUAGAGGAUGUGGAGGAUGAGUGCAUCACUCCAGGGAAGCGUAAGAGGUCAAGCACGUCUGUAAUGUAUGACAGUGACAGGAGUGAUGAUAGUGACAUCCCUGUUAGAAAAGUAUUUGCUAAACGUUAUUGCAUAAUGGAUGAAGAUGAGUGUUCUCAGGAACAAUAUAAAACUCCUACUACAGAAGACUACUUGACUAAUGGGAAACAGAAGCAGCUAAUGAAACUGAAAGAACUCGCAAGACAAAGAUCAACCCGGGCAUCCAGUAAUAGUAAAUAUUGUGGGGAUUCUGAUGAUGAUGUGGAAAUAAUAGAAGAAUCAUCCUAUCAUUUACCCCUCACACCAACAGAAAGCAGUGAUAUUGAUAAUGAUGAUGAUAGUAUGAAAGACUUUAUAGUUGAGGAUGAGGAAGAAUGUGCAGAACAUUCUGAGGAUGAAAACCAACCACAAGGGAAAGAACUGGCUACAUCAAAAUUCCAAUUACUGGACUAUUACAUUCCACGCUUCUCUCGCUGUGACCAUUAUGUCCACUUCCAAAGAGUUGUAAAAGCUUUCCUCAUCAACACAAUUGAUGACACUUUUUUGAGCUCAUUGUAUGAUGGAACAAGGCGAAAGAGAUAUGCACAAGAAAUGGUAACCUCACUCCAUUAUUUGGAUGAUCGCUUUAUUCAACCUCGUCUUGAAAACUUAAUCUCUAGAAGUCGCUGGAAAGAACGAUAUAAGGAGCGAGUGGAUUGUUACCCUGAAGUCCGCAUAGUAAUGAAGACUCCAAUAAAUAGAUCCUGUCAAGCUUGUGAACUGCAUCGGUACUGUAAGUUUGCUGUGUUGCUGUCAGGAAAGCUGUACAACUAUAGAACUUUGGAAACCGAUGACUUUAUGUUGGAUGACAAACAGGUUUUGAAGGUUGGCAGCGUGUGCGCAAAUCGUACAAGGGUUUAUCAUAAUCUGAAACAUUUUAAAUUCAAGUUGUAUCAGCGCUGCCGUUCAGUUACAGAGGUGGAGGGCAUUCAGGAUGAGCCAGUCAAAGACACAGUCGACAGGCUUUUCAAUCAAUUGGAAGAGAGUGGCUGGAUUCAGGAGUAGUCAGUCCAUUUGCUACAUGGUACAAUACUGAUGCAAGUACACCUAGAUAGUACGAUGUAUUUCAUGGAGAUAUGAUUAUCUGGAAGAAUAUAUGAAUGAUGCAGAUUACUUCCAAGAAGAGAAAAUGGACUGAGUGGUCAUGCAUCUCUUUGAAAGAAGCUUUGUAAAAAUCUCUAAUUAGCUGUGAUAUCCACCUGUCCACAAAAAAAUCUCCAAAUGCUUUUCAGGAUGUUUUCUUACACUGCAUUGUAUUUAAGUCUGUAGCUGUGCCUGUAAAUUGCUAUACAUAUAAAAAGAAAAAGCAGCAUAUUCUUUUAUACCCCUUAAUUUUAAAUGUCAAAAUAGUGAUUUAAAGAUGUUUUAUGAACUAAACAACUGUCUGUUAUGCAUAGGCCAGUUGAACUUUCCUUUGUGGUUAAAAAGACUAGUGUCCGAGUACCUAUGUAUUUAUGAAAUAAAACUUCUUAUGCCUAGCUCAAUGGCAGAGAUGUGAGAGAUGGUAAGCCCCAAUUAACCCUUUUUGGGGUAGGAAUACUUCAGUAAAAAGUAUAAAUUGCAUCCCAUCACAUCCCUGUGAACUUGAAAUGAGCAUUAACCAGUUAGCCUGGUUAUAGUGAGAAUGAAACAUAACCAGACACAUUCAUUCUUAAUCCAGUAUCAAAACCACCUUCAUUUCUCAUCCCUGGAGACCUAGAAUAGUGCAAUUUGCACAUGGUCAUAGCGUCUGUUGUGAAAGAUGUCUAUAUGUAGUACAGACGCCACAAUAGCUACUACCAUGUUCUGGAAGAUAGGUGGAUAAUUCCUGCAAAACUAACUAAUAACAGUAAUCGCCUGGCUGACGGGGGAAGCUGCACAAAACCUUGUUUGUGUUAUAUCUACUAGCAUGUGUGGUGAGGUGUCGUACCUCUCUGGGACAUGUAAAGCCCUAACCCAGCUUUCUCUCUCCUGGGUCUUCAGAGAUGUAGGAGGAGUUUAGUGAUGUGGUACACAUUAACCCCUUGGCCUACUUGCUGCACAUAAAAGAAAGCAGGCUGUGGGGGAGCAGAGAGCUUAGCGAUAAGGGGGAAAGGAAAUGCUGCUCUUUUUUGCUUGAGUUGUGGAAGAGGAUAACUACUUCAAACUCUUCUUACCUCCUGGGAAAGUGAAGGACACUUUUUACUGUUGAGUCAUUUGUUUAAACCCUACAUAGGAACAGAUAUUAAAGUGAAUGUUAUUCUUGGGGUGUAGUCUGAUCAUACCUAUGAAGAGAACCUACCGUCUAACAGUGCUUUGUAUUCAGUAUUAUAAUACUCCUGUAGUCAUGCAUACUUGUCACCCUGGGAAUGGUGGUUUUAUGGCUGAGCACGUUGCAAGGAUAGUCUGAGUUAAAUUUUUUUUUUUAAAUCAACGCAGUAAAAUGAAUCCAUAUUAAGUACAUGAUCUACUCACAGGAAGUAUUCCAGUAUCCAUACAUUUCAAUUAUGUAGGUCCUAGUGUGCCUUCACGCCACUAACUGCAUAUUGUCAGAAUAAAAUGUCAAUACAUUAAUCACCCUCCAGAUUACCUCUGGUAGAUACCCAAUUGCCCUGCUUCCCAUGCUAGCACUUAUAUAUGAUCCCUCAAGGUGUGUGGCAAAGGUAUGAGUUAACUCUGCUUUCUGCAGUGAAGACUUGCUUCCCGCCCCACUUUUUUUUCCAUUGCUAUUUGGGGCCUGAUGCAAAGCCUGUUAGAGUCAAGGGAGAGACACCUAUAUUCUUUAAUGGAUUUUGGAUCAGGCUCUUGAGGAAAAUCCUGCUAGACUUGGCCCUGAUCACAUCACUUUAUAGGAAGACCAGGCCUCUUGUACAGUGCACCAGAAGAAUAAAACCUGUGUACCGCAUUACACACCACCUUGUCAAAUGCACACCGUGCACCAGUUAUGGUUGUGCCCUGGGCAUUCACAGUUAACACUUGAGGGUGAAAUUAUUACACAGUACCACUUUACUGUUCCAUACUACUUUUCCUUUCAUGCAACUUUUUUUUUUUGACAUUUCUAAUAGUCUUCAUUUUUGCAGAUGAAUACAGUUUUGCAACAAGAAGUCUAUGUUUAACCUCCUUUGCAAAAGUGGGCAACGACACUGAUUUUUCCAGCUGAUAUUUUGUUAGCGUUCAAGAGGGUUUCUGUAUCUCUCUAACAUUUACCAUGCUUAAGAUUACACUAUUCAUGUCUAGAAGCCUUGAGCACAUCAUUGUUAAAAGGUACAACUGUGGAAAGUGGUUUUGUACUGCAUAAUGGCAGAUAUCUACUGCCACCUCUUCAGUUAAGCUGCACUGACAAAAUAGGGGAUGCAUUUUAAUAAAAAUGAAUGUGCUUUGCA
Mauremys mutica (yellowpond turtle) is the source of this 3943-nucleotide RNA transcript. It is a transcript of the gene named coiled-coil domain containing 82, with no coding region annotated. NCBI's taxonomy places the organism in Eukaryota, Metazoa, Chordata, Testudines, Geoemydidae. The transcript is spliced from 9 exons. The record is from RefSeq and is a predicted model, not a curated record.